GACGAACGCUGGCGGCGUGCCUAACACAUGCAAGUCGAACGGAAGUAAGUGCUUCGGUAUUUACUUUAGUGGCGAACGGGUGAGUAACGCGUGAGGAACCUGCCUUUCAGUGGGGGACAACAGUUGGAAACGACUGCUAAUACCGCAUAAGCCCACAGCUCCGCAUGGAGCAGGGGGAAAAGGAGUGAUCCGCUUUGAGAUGGCCUCGCGUCCGAUUAGCUAGUUGGUGAGGUAACGGCCCACCAAGGCGACGAUCGGUAGCCGGACUGAGAGGUUGAUCGGCCACAUUGGGACUGAGACACGGCCCAG
This 309-nucleotide ribosomal RNA is filed under the name uncultured bacterium. Its description in RNAcentral is "bacterial SSU rRNA". It matches the Rfam family "Bacterial small subunit ribosomal RNA", at positions 28 to 334 of the family's 1533-position model. The record is from RNAcentral.